GGAUUCGUCGGUUGGUCGGGCUUCACUGUCCGCACUGACCUGACGGAUUCCUACCUUCUGAAUAACCAGCAUGCUAUUAAGUUAGUGCGUUGGGGAAGCAGAGCUAUUACCUUGAAAAAAUUAGAGUGCUUAAAGCAGGCUUGUGCUUGAAUAGAUUAGCAUGGAAUAAUAAAAUAGGACGGCUUGGUUCUAUUUUGUUGGUUUCUAGGAUCACCGUA
RNAcentral lists this ribosomal RNA (218 nucleotides) under Acaulospora sp. WUM18. RNAcentral's name for it is "partial small subunit ribosomal RNA". The stretch from base 47 to 218 matches the Rfam family "Eukaryotic small subunit ribosomal RNA", at positions 692 to 864 of the family's 1831-position model. Lineage: Eukaryota; Fungi; Glomeromycota; Glomeromycetes; Diversisporales; Acaulosporaceae. The record is from RNAcentral.